ACCAAAAUAAUACUUUGGUAAGAAAAAUAAUUGGGGUCAAUAGCUGUGUGUUAAUGUGCAAAAAAAUUGGCAACGGGCGAAGGGCGAAGGGCGAAGAAGAGGAAAAUGAAGAAGCUUGCAAGGAAAUGGCGCAAUUCAGGAGACGACAAGUUCUCUCUUCCCAUCCACGACGAUGAAGACUCUCGUCCCAUGGGCCCUCAAGAGCAAGAAGAGUUUGUUCGCUCUUUAGAGGCCACUCAAGCUGAGAAUAAUCGCUUUUGGAGGAGGGUGUUUGCCAUUCUGCUCUUCUGUUACAUGCAGUUUCUUUUGUAUUCCAUCUUCAAACAGGUUACAUCUCCAUGGGAGAUGAGGCCUUAUGCCUAUUUCAUGGAGGACAUCUACUCAUGGAUGAUUAUCUCUGCAGACUGGAUGGCUGUUUUAGUGUGCUCAUUUUCCAUGAAAGGAUUGAUUGAUGAGUCAGUGCAUCACAGAAGAUGGAUCUGGUACUCGUGGUUUACUGCCAUUGUUCCUGCAAUGUUCUGGUUAUAUUACAUGUUGAGUACAUUUGAACCAAUGCAUAUUCAAGAAAGCAUUCAAGAAAAUCAAGAUGUUAUGCCUGCUCUGGUAAUAUUUUCCAUUCUAUAACUGCUUCCUAUACUAUCUUCAGCUAUUCUUUCUGCUGUUUAUAUCCCCCUUCAAAUAUGUGCUAUUUCAGGUGCUUCCCUCACCUCUAAUAUAUAACACUAAUUUUCUUAUAGGCUGCCUAAAUUCCGAUGGGAUGUUAUCUUUCUGCCAUUUGGUCCUCUUGGGGGAGCCACAAUCUGCCUCUACGUGGAUCAUUUGCUAAGUGAGUCAUCAGAAGAGAUAAGAAAGCUUCGUGGGUACAUGUAUAGCUAUAAAGCAGGCUAGAGUGGACAUUGUGCCCUGGUGAUAUGGGAAGCAAUUUUUGGAAUGGAUUGACCGGAUAACCUGUGAAUUAUUUUCAAUCAGUCAUAUGGAUUGAGGCUGAUACCCUUAUCAGCCAACAACAGCAGGGAGAGUUAAGAUAGGAACAGUCACCUGAUCAGAGAGCAAGUGACAUGGUUUAAGGUGGCAUCUGGUGGAGUGGCGAUGUUUUGGUGAGAUGUGGUAGUAGCAAUUUUGGAUGCUAUAAUAAUUUUCGUUUUACUGAGCAACUUAGUGAAUCACAUUUCUCUAAAGUUUAUGCAAGUUGUGUCAUUGCUGUUAAUCAACAGAAUUUUAUAGCUGUUCGUACCUUGCGUGAAUUUGCCAUUACGGCUGACAAGUUUAGACUUUAGACAUGUUAACUUACAUGGGUAUUGAAUUGUUUGCAAAAUAGGUUGGAUAUUGAAAAAGAACAAUUGAACUUUUUGUGGGAAUUUCAGUGGGUUCCUUGCUUUAUUGGCUGAAGAUAGGCAGCAUAAUGCUAAGCGAAUACCUCUGAUUUUUGCUUGUGAAUAAGAACAAAAAUCGUGGAAGAA
Arachis ipaensis is the source of this 1460-nucleotide non-coding RNA. The record is from RefSeq and is a predicted model, not a curated record. Lineage: Eukaryota; Viridiplantae; Streptophyta; Magnoliopsida; Fabales; Fabaceae.